RNAcentral lists this ribosomal RNA (362 nucleotides) under Ecclisopteryx dalecarlica. RNAcentral describes it as "partial 16S ribosomal RNA". Lineage: Eukaryota; Metazoa; Arthropoda; Insecta; Trichoptera; Limnephilidae. The record is from RNAcentral.
AUAAUAAUUAGGUUUUUAAUUGAAAUCUAGAAUGAAUGAUUGGACGAGAUACAGGCUGUUUUAUAAUAAUUAAUUAAAAUUUAAUUUUUUAGUCAAAAAGCUAAAAUUUUAUUAAAAGACGAGAAGACCCUAUAAAUCUUUAUAAUAAAUUUAUUUUAAUGAAUUAUUUUAUUUAAAUUAAUAGUUUUAAUAAUAAAUUAUUUUAUUGGGGUGAUACAAAAAUUUAAUUAACUUUUUUAUUUAUAUUACUUAAAUUAAAGAUUUAUAAAAAUUUGAUCUACUAUUAGUAAUUCAGAGAAUAAGAUACUUUAGGGAUAACAGCGUAAUUUUAAUUUUAAGUUCUCAUUAAAAUUAAAGAUUGC